RNAcentral lists this long non-coding RNA (429 nucleotides) under Zea mays. RNAcentral's name for it is "long non-coding RNA (ZMAY_LNC003002)". Lineage: Eukaryota; Viridiplantae; Streptophyta; Magnoliopsida; Poales; Poaceae. The record is from RNAcentral.
UUUGCGACUUUUCUUGAAUUGGUGUCCUGAAGUACAUGGAACAAAGAAUUAGUCUUCAAGUCAAAGAAGCGGUUACUGUUUUGUAAAUGGUCUAGCUUAGUCUGUUACUUGAUUUUUCUCUCUUUUCCGAAACAUCUCAAAAUGAACCGGGCACAUUCCAUGUUCAGUUGUGAAGCUAUGUUCAUUCAGGAGCUUGGUUCUCUUGAAACUUUGAAACUUGAGUCAAAGAACUAUGCAUUGUAGCCACCCAGCUCAAUCGAAGGGCAAGUAAUGCUACAUGCCAUCCUCAUGGUCAGACUCUUGUUGAAGCGACUAGUUCUUGAAUUUAUCUUCUCGGUUGUUGUUCUAAAUUUUUCCUUGACAUAUUUUUGAAAGCAACUUAGGCACAACUUAAACGAGCAUGUUGGGCAGCAUCUCAAGAAUUGGCUC